This 463-nucleotide ribosomal RNA is filed under the name uncultured bacterium. RNAcentral's name for it is "partial 16S ribosomal RNA". It matches the Rfam family "Bacterial small subunit ribosomal RNA", at positions 36 to 507 of the family's 1533-position model. The record is from RNAcentral.
UCCUCCCUCUUUCUUCGUGCUUAACACAUGCAAGUCGAACGGAAAGGCCUUUUCGGAGGUACUCGAGUGGCGAACGGGUGAGUAACACGUGGGUGAUCUGCCCUGCACUCUGGGAUAAGCCUGGGAAACUGGGUCUAAUACCGGAUAGGACCGCACUUUAGUGUGUGUGGUGGAAAGUUUUUUCGGUGUAGGAUGAGCCCGCGGCCUAUCAGCUUGUUGGUGGGGUAAUGGCCUACCAAGGCGGCGACGGGUAGCCGGACUGAGAGGUUGGUCGGCCACAUUGGGACUGAGAUACGGCCCAGACUCCUACGGGAGGCAGCAGUGGGGAAUAUUGCACAAUGGGCGCAAGCCUGAUGCAGCGACGCCGCGUGGGGGAUGACGGCCUUCGGGUUGUAAACUCCUUUCGCCAGGGACGAAGCGUUUUGUGACGGUACCUGGAGAAGAAGCACCGGCUAACUACGUG